GACGAACGCUGGCGGCGUGCUUAACACAUGCAAGUCGAACGAUGAAGCCUAGCUUGCUAGGUGGAUUAGUGGCGAACGGGUGAGUAAUACGUGAGUAACCUACCUUUAACUCUGGGAUAAGCCUGGGAAACUGGGUCUAAUACCGGGUACGACCAAUCUCCGCAUGGGGUGUUGGUGGAAAGCGUUAUGUAGUGGUUAUAGAUGGGCUCACGGCCUAUCAGCUUGUUGGUGAGGUAACGGCUCACCAAGGCGACGACGGGUAGCCGGCCUGAGAGGGUGACCGGCCACACUGGGACUGAGACACGGCCCAGACUCCUACGGGAGGCAGCAGUGGGGAAUAUUGCACAAUGGGCGCAAGCCUGAUGCAGCGACGCCGCGUGAGGGAUGACGGCCUUCGGGUUGUAAACCUCUGUUAGCAGGGAAGAAGAGAAAUUGACGGUACCUGCAGAGAAAGCGCCGGCUAACUACGUGCCAGCAGCCGCGGUAAUACGUAGGGCGCGAGCGUUGUCCGGAAUUAUUGGGCGUAAAGAGCUUGUAGGCGGUUUGUCGCGUCUGCUGUGAAAGGCCGGGGCUUAACCCCGUGUAUUGCAGUGGGUACGGGCAGACUAGAGUGCAGUAGGGGAGACUGGAACUCCUGGUGUAGCGGUGGAAUGCGCAGAUAUCAGGAAGAACACCGAUGGCGAAGGCAGGUCUCUGGGCUGUAACUGACGCUGAGAAGCGAAAGCAUGGGGAGCGAACAGG
Molecule: ribosomal RNA, 741 nt
Filed under: Rothia mucilaginosa
Lineage: Bacteria; Bacillati; Actinomycetota; Actinomycetes; Micrococcales; Micrococcaceae
Description: bacterial SSU rRNA
Rfam family: Bacterial small subunit ribosomal RNA
Source: RNAcentral